RNAcentral lists this unclassified non-coding RNA (318 nucleotides) under air metagenome. RNAcentral's name for it is "partial contains small subunit ribosomal RNA, internal transcribed spacer 1, and 5.8S ribosomal RNA". The stretch from base 1 to 46 matches the Rfam family "Eukaryotic small subunit ribosomal RNA", at positions 1786 to 1831 of the family's 1831-position model. The record is from RNAcentral.
AAGUCGUAACAAGGUUUCCGUAGGUGAACCUGCGGAAGGAUCAUUAUCGAGUUUUGAAGUGGGCCUCUCGAGCUGGCAUUCAAGUUGCAGGUGCUCAGAGGCUCCCACUCCCAUCCUCUCAAUCCCUGUGCACUUCUGAGCGCAAGUGAGUGGUCAGUCUUCUCCCCUCUUAUGAAAGGAGGGGGACCAGUCUUUCAAGCUGGUAUUGGCUUGAUGCUUACUUCGUUUAUUAUUAACUCAUAUAAUGUCUUGUAGAAUGUAUUGCCUCUCUGCAGGCGAAAUGUAAUACAACUUUCAACAACGGAUCUCUUGGCUCUC